This 429-nucleotide ribosomal RNA is filed under the name Gemmatimonadota bacterium. RNAcentral describes it as "Gemmatimonadetes bacterium partial 16S ribosomal RNA". It matches the Rfam family "Bacterial small subunit ribosomal RNA", at positions 355 to 776 of the family's 1533-position model. Lineage: Bacteria; Pseudomonadati; Gemmatimonadota. The record is from RNAcentral.
UAGGGAAUCUUCGGCAAUGGACGAAAGUCUGACCGAGCAACGCCGCGUGAGUGAAGAAGGUUUUCGGAUCGUAAAACUCUGUUGUUAGAGAAGAACAAGGACGUUAGUAACUGAACGUCCCCUGACGGUAUCUAACCAGAAAGCCACGGCUAACUACGUGCCAGCAGCCGCGGUAAUACGUAGGUGGCAAGCGUUGUCCGGAUUUAUUGGGCGUAAAGCGAGCGCAGGCGGUUUCUUAAGUCUGAUGUGAAAGCCCCCGGCUCAACCGGGGAGGGUCAUUGGAAACUGGGAGACGUGAGUGCAGAAGAUGAGAGUGGAAUUCCAUGUGUAGCGGUGAAAUGCGUAGAUAUAUGGAGGAACACCAGUGGCGAAGGCGGCUCUCUGGUCUAUAACUGACGCUGAGGCUCGAAAGCGUGGGGAGCAAACAGG